RNAcentral lists this ribosomal RNA (406 nucleotides) under uncultured bacterium. Its description in RNAcentral is "partial 16S ribosomal RNA". It matches the Rfam family "Bacterial small subunit ribosomal RNA", at positions 30 to 526 of the family's 1533-position model. The record is from RNAcentral.
AUUGAACGCUGGCGGCAGGCCUAACACAUGCAAGUCGAACGAGUGGCGGACGGGUGAGUAAUGUCUGGGAAACUCCCCGAUGGAGGGGGAUAACUACUGGAAACGGUAGCUAAUACCGCAUACCAUCGGAUGUGCCCAGAUGGGAUUAGCUAGUAGGUGGGGUAACGGCUCACCUAGGCGACGAUCCCUAGCUGGUCUGAGUGGAUGACGAGCCACAGGGGAGCUGGGACACGGUCCAUCAUCCUACGGGAGGCAGCGGUGGGGAAUAUUCGACAAUGGGCGCAAGCCAGAUGCAGCCAUGCCGCGUGUAUGAAGAAGGCCUUCGGGUUGUAAAGUACUUGCAGCGAGGAGGCGUUACUCGCAGAAGAAGCACCGGCUAACUCCGUGCCAGCAGCCGCGGUAAUAC